UUUUUUUUUUUUUGUCUUUUAAGGGCUGCACUUGCAGCAUAUGUAAGUUCCCAGGCUAGGGAUCGAAUUGGAGCUGUAGCUGCCGGCUUGUGCCACAGCCACAGAAACACCAGAUCCGAGCUACAUUUGCAACCUACACCACAGCUCAUGGCUCAGAUCUGAGCCACAUCCACGAUCUACGCCACAGCUUGUGGCAACACUGGAUCCUUAACCCACUGAGUGAGGCCAGGGAUCAAACCCACGUUCUCAUGGAUACUAAUUGGGUUUGUAACCCACUGAACCACAGUGGGAACUUCCUUUAAUGAUUAUUCUUAAUGCUUUCUGUGAGUUAGGAGAUGGUAAAGUAAAGAUGAACUGGAGGCUUCUUUCUUGUAGAGACUCAUAGUACAUAUACUGGGGUGGUGAAGAUGGCAUUAAACACCCAUAUUGUAUGUGACUGGUGCUAUAGUCAAAGUGAGCUCCAAGUAUUGAUGGAACACUCAGGGCUCAAUUGAUUCUGAUUGGGAGAGUCAGGAAAUACAUUCCUAGAAAGUGACAUUUGAGUGGGGUCUUGAGGAUGAGGUUGGGGGGGGGCAUUCCAAACUAGGCUGCGUGUUUGGGGAUUGGCUUGGCUGGGGUAAGUGGUACUGAGUUCCCUGUAGAAGAAGCAGAAGAUGGUAUGGUGAGCUCUAGACCACAAGGCCAGUCUAGAGAGCUAGUGGGGAAUCCCAUGUUCAAGGGACAUUAUGUAAGAUAAACCUUAAGGGGAAUAGACCCUGGGAUGUGGGGUUUGGAAAUGGUAAGAGAUCAGGCUGGGAGGUAAAUUCAUGGAGAACCUUAUGUGACAUGCCAAUUUGUUUUUCCUCUCUCAUGCAAUGAGGAAAACUGGUAGCCUUUUUUUUUUUUUUUAGUGGAAUAGAUAUAGAUCCAUUUGAUUGAUUGUGGAGGAUAAUUUGGAGAAGAGAAUUUGAGGAAAAUAGUUCAGCAGCUAUUUGAGUAAUCUAGAUGAAAGAUAAUGAAUGUUUGAACAUGGGCUGUGAUGAAAGAGAGACGCCAGGGUUCCUGUUUUCUCAGGGCUUGUGCAUAUUUUGUGGGGGCACGAAAGAAUUGGGCUCCAAUCAAGAGCGGUAUUUUAAAUGUGCACCGUGCUUUCAAAGAACAGCUGCAACAUCAAGUCCAAUAUCUACUAAGAUACAUUCUGGGGUAGGCGUUUUUGACCAAGUGUUGGGUAUGAUUGAUCCUGUGUUGAUUUUGUCUUCCCAGCAGACUUAAGAGGGAGAUGGGGCUUCUAUGAUUGCCAUUCUGCAGAGGAAGGACCAGCUUGAGAGUCGAAGGGAUACUCAAGUCCAUGCUGCCAGGGAGGGACAGAAUCUGGACUUGAGCUUGACUUCCUCUUCUCUGGUAGCUGCUCUUUCCAGGAGACUGGGAUUAACUCCACAUGUGUCGGAACAUCAAAUGCAUGAUGAAUAGGGAGAGCCUACUGAAUGAUUUCAGAAGCAGGAGAAAGACACACUGUCAAGAGCCAUCAGGGAUGUGGUUUUGAAGGAAGCUGGCCUUGGCCUGAGUCUUGAAAGCUGCAGGGUGAGGUUGGACUCCAAGAAGCAGAGGAGCUAGGCUGCUGUGUGCCCAGUGGUACCAGUGGUAAGGAAGCAUAGGUAUUAAUUACCCCCUGUCAUUUCUGGGGCAACAUAACUCUGAUUUUAAUUAAUUAGUGAAAUAUUUAUUUUGCCCUUGCUCUAUUCCAGGAACUAUCUGGGGUCAAGAGACGCUGACAUUCAUGAGGCCAGAAUCUAGCUUUGAGAAAGAGAUCAUCUGUUAGAGAUGAUAGGGCUGUGGGCCCAGAAACCACAGGACCUGGGUCUGAAUUCUGAAACCAAUGUUUAGUAGGGUAGAUUUUUUUUUCUUUUUAUAGCCCCACCUGCAGCAUAUGGAAGCCCUUGGACCAGGGAAGGGGUCAAAUCGGAGCUGCAGCUGUGACCUACACCACUGCUAAUGGCCAUGCUGGAUAUUUAACCCACUAAGCAAGGCCAGGGAUUGAACCCACAUCCUUACAGAGACAACAUCAGGUCCUUUAUCCACUGAGCCACAACAGGAACUCCAUAGCUGGGUAGCUUCUAAAGUGUCCCUGAAUCUCUCUGAUCCUCAGCUUCUCCAUCUGUACAGCUCAGUUAGUGGUUUGCAAAUCACGCAGUUGUUACAAAGAGCAGAGUUAAUGUGUUAAUAUGCUUUGUACGGUUCAAAGCACAGAACAUCUACGAAAGCCCGAGCCAUUAUUAUUAUUGUUAUUGUCUGGGAUUUCUCAGUCUUGUAAGAGAGUGUGGAGAGGAAUGACUAAGUGUGAGCCAACUUCCAGAAAUCAGCUGAUGGACAAACAAAAGUCUCGAUGGCCCGGGGAGUUCUGCUGAGAGACCUGGAAGCACAGUGCUGAUGCCGGCAGGGAUCCUAGCAGUCAUCGCACUCCACUCACCGUCCACGUUACAGGAGGGAAAGCAGCUACUGCCUUGAAUCCCGCCAGAUGCUCCGAAAGCCUUGGAAGGAAUGGAUGGCCUGUCCCAGAAAUCCACAGGACACUGUGAGCAGGAAAACAAGACCAACCCCUCAGGAAGUUGUCAGACCAAAUUCUUACCUAUCACUUUAGUCAUCCAUUCAUCCAUGUGUCCAACCUGUUUGUGCUCCAAGCCAGGCAUUAGACGGGAUGCUAGUUACACAGAGCAAAAAUGAAACUACUGCCAAAACCUCCAGACACAGGGAUUUCUUCCUGCACCUUAAACAGGCAACAACACCUCCUGAAGGCCUCCUAUGUCCCCAGCGCUGUGGCAGUAGGGAAACUGAGUCAGAAACUAAGGUGGAGCCCGUACUCUGUAGCAGGUGCCUGUUCAUGGGGAAAAAGAAUCCAGGCAUCACUGAAACUGCUUCGAGUACCAGUAAGUUUGCUUUCGGCCUUAGCAUGGACCAACCUUUGGUGUUGCCUACAACGGGAAGAAUGAAUUGGCUGCAUCCAGAGCACCUGCUCAUGUGUGAAAAUGAAGAACCGCGGUGCAACUCCAGGUGGUCUCUGCCUCAGCAUCACUGCCUGAAUAUCCUUUUUCGUCUUUUUCUUUUUUAA
RNAcentral lists this long non-coding RNA (3085 nucleotides) under Sus scrofa (pig). RNAcentral's name for it is "lncRNA (ENSSSCG00055013453.1)". The record is from RNAcentral. Lineage: Eukaryota; Metazoa; Chordata; Mammalia; Artiodactyla; Suidae.